RNAcentral lists this ribosomal RNA (253 nucleotides) under uncultured bacterium. Its description in RNAcentral is "partial 16S ribosomal RNA". It matches the Rfam family "Bacterial small subunit ribosomal RNA", at positions 524 to 776 of the family's 1533-position model. The record is from RNAcentral.
UACGUAGGGGGCAAGCGUUGUCCGGAUUUAUUGGGCGUAAAGAGCUCGUAGGCGGCUCGAAAAGUCGGCGGUGAAAACUCGGGACUCAACUCCGAGGCGCCCGUCGAUACUGUCGAGCUUGAGUCCGGUAGGGGAGUGUGGAAUUCCUGGUGUAGCGGUGAAAUGCGCAGAUAUCAGGAGGAACACCGAUGGCGAAGGCAGCACUCUGGGCCGGCACUGACGCUGAGGAGCGAAAGCCAGGGGAGCAAACGGG